AGGAUGAACGCUAGCGGCAGGCCUAAUACAUGCAAGUCGAACGGUAAGGUCUCUUCGGAGAUACACGAGUGGCGCACGGGUGCGUAACGCGUAUGCAACCUACCUUGAACUGGAAGAUAGCCCCGAGAAAUCGGGAUUAAUAUUCCAUAAUGUCCAUUUUUUGCAUAUGAGAUGGAUUAAAGUUACGGCGGUUCAAGAUGGGCAUGCGUGACAUUAGCUAGUUGGUGAGGUAACGGCUCACCAAGGCGACGAUGUCUAGGGGUCCUGAGAGGGUUUCCCCCCCACACUGGUACUGAGACACGGACCAGACUCCUACGGGAGGCAGCAGUAAGGAAUAUUGGUCAAUGGACGCAAGUCUGAACCAGCCAUGCCGCGUGCAGGAUGACUGCCCUACGGGUUGUAAACUGCUUUUACGUGAGAAAAAACUCCCCGAUUCGUUCGGGGACUGAUGGUAUCACAUGAAUAAGCAUCGGCUAACUCCGUGCCAGCAGCCGCGGUAAUACGGAGGAUGCAAGCGUUAUCCGGAUUCAUUGGGUUUAAAGGGUGUGCAGGCGGAAUGAUAAGUCAGAGGUGAAAUCCCCCGGCUCAACCGGGGACCUGCCUUUGAUACUGUUGUUCUUGAGUAUAGUUGAAGUGGGCGGAAUGUGUCAUGUAGCGGUGAAAUGCAUAGAUAUGACACAGAACACCGAUAGCGAAGGCAGCUCACUAACCUAUAACUGACGCUCAUGCACGAAAGCGUGGGGAGCAAACAGGAUUAGAUACGCUGGUAGUCCACGCUGUAAACUAUGAUCACUAGUUGUUAGCGAUUCCACCUGUUAGCGACUGAGGGAAACCAUUAAGUGAUCCACCUGGGGAGU
This 857-nucleotide ribosomal RNA is filed under the name uncultured organism. RNAcentral's name for it is "bacterial SSU rRNA". It matches the Rfam family "Bacterial small subunit ribosomal RNA", at positions 26 to 881 of the family's 1533-position model. The record is from RNAcentral.